UACGUAGGCAGCGAGCGUUGUUCGGAGUUACUGGGCGUAAAGGGUGUGCAGGCGGCCUUCUAAGUUUGGUGUGAAAUCUCCCGGCUCAACUGGGAGGGUGCGCCGAAAACUGGGAGGCUUGGAGUGCGGGAGAGGAGAGUGGAAUUCCUGGUGUAGCGGUGAAGUGCGUAGAUAUGCGGAGGAACACCGAUGGCGAAGGCAGCCCCCUGGGUCAAAACUGACGCUCAUGCACGAAAGCGUGGGGAGCAAACAGG
RNAcentral lists this ribosomal RNA (254 nucleotides) under uncultured bacterium. RNAcentral describes it as "partial 16S ribosomal RNA". It matches the Rfam family "Bacterial small subunit ribosomal RNA", at positions 524 to 776 of the family's 1533-position model. The record is from RNAcentral.